RNAcentral lists this transfer RNA (82 nucleotides) under Candidatus Peribacteria bacterium. Its description in RNAcentral is "tRNA-Leu". It matches the Rfam family "tRNA". From Rfam's summary of the family: Transfer RNA (tRNA) molecules are approximately 80 nucleotides in length. The record is from RNAcentral. Lineage: Bacteria; Candidatus Peregrinibacteriota; Candidatus Peribacteria.
GCCCAAAUGAUGGAACUGGUAGACAUGCACGCUUCAGGUGCGUGUGCCGUAAGGUGUGGGGGUUCGAAUCCCCCUUUGGGCA